Molecule: ribosomal RNA, 543 nt
Filed under: uncultured bacterium
Lineage: Bacteria
Description: bacterial SSU rRNA
Rfam family: Bacterial small subunit ribosomal RNA
Source: RNAcentral
UGGGGAAUCUUGCGCAAUGGACGAAAGUCUGACGCAGCCACGCCGCGUGAGUGAAGAAGGCCUUCGGGUUGUAAAGCUCUGUCGGGCGGGACGAACAUUUUCUGGGUGAAUAGCCCAGGGAACUGACGGUACCGCCAAAGGAAGCACCGGCUAACUUCGUGCCAGCAGCCGCGGUAAUACGAGGGGUGCAAGCGUUGCUCGGAAUUAUUGGGCGUAAAGGGUAGGUAGGUGGUCUCAUUUGUCUGGGGUGAAAGCCUUGAGCUUAACUCAAGAAGUGCCCCGGAAACGGUGAGACUGGAGUCCUGGAGAGGGUCGUGGAAUUCCCGGUGUGGCGGUGAAAUGCGUAGAGAUCGGGAGGAACACCAGAGGCGAAGGCGGCGACCUGGACAGGCACUGACACUCAACUACGAAAGCGUGGGGAGCAAACAGGAUUAGAUACCCUGGUAGUCCACGCCGUAAACGAUGGGUACUAGAUUAGGUGGGUCUUGACCCCCGCCGAAUCGGCGCUAACGCACUAAGUACCCCGCCUGGGAAGUACGGUCG